CCAAGGGCUGUCUGAGAGUUUGAGCAACUGGUUCCCUUCCCCCCGCCAACAACCACCAGAGUGGAAGCUUUCUGGAAGAAUCAUUUUUGGAGAAUGGAGGUACCUUCAGGUGUGGGAGGUCCCUGACCUGCAGCAUACAGGAGCCUGGAGUUCUCC
RNAcentral lists this long non-coding RNA (156 nucleotides) under Mustela putorius furo (domestic ferret). RNAcentral describes it as "lncRNA (ENSMPUG00000025489.1)". The record is from RNAcentral. Lineage: Eukaryota; Metazoa; Chordata; Mammalia; Carnivora; Mustelidae.